AUUUUCAUCAAUUUUACUUUUAGAUCUAAAAAAAAAUUAGAUCUAAAACUUAUUUCAUGCAUGUUAGAAAAUUUGGCUUUGAUACCAUUAUUAGAUUUCUAGGUGAUUUGCAUGCAGAUUUUUUCAUCUUAUAAAAAUAUGCAGUGGAAAGAUAAAAUUAAAACUAUUUUAAUUUUAAUCAUGCUUCGAUCUAAUCCUACAAUUAUCUAGGGAUCUUUUUAAGCAUGUUAUGAAAUAAAUAUUUUAGAUCAGAUAUAAAAAUAAAUUAGAAAAGAAGAAUGAUUACCUUAAUCGCUAUCCUUUCUUCUUACUC
RNAcentral lists this long non-coding RNA (313 nucleotides) under Elaeis guineensis (African oil palm). RNAcentral's name for it is "long non-coding RNA (EGUI_LNC025803)". Lineage: Eukaryota; Viridiplantae; Streptophyta; Magnoliopsida; Arecales; Arecaceae. The record is from RNAcentral.